GACCACGACCCCAGGUCAGGUGGGAUUACCCGCUGAAUUUAAGCAUAUCAAUAAGCGGAGGA
This 62-nucleotide ribosomal RNA is filed under the name Solanum lycopersicum (tomato). RNAcentral describes it as "partial large subunit ribosomal RNA". It matches the Rfam family "Eukaryotic large subunit ribosomal RNA", at positions 1 to 57 of the family's 3401-position model. The record is from RNAcentral. Lineage: Eukaryota; Viridiplantae; Streptophyta; Magnoliopsida; Solanales; Solanaceae.